GUGGAUGUAUUCCACCUCUACUUUCAGUUUUGAAGUCGGAUUCCACUGAAGCAAGGAAGGCAGCUGCAGAAGCAAUUUUUCAGGUGUCAUCUAAUGGCCUCUCAGAUGAUCCUAUUGGCACUAAAAUAUUUGUUACAGAGGGUGUAGUACCAACUUUGUGGGAGCAGCUUAACCCAAAGCAGAAGCAGGAUAAAACAGUAGAGGG
This 205-nucleotide unclassified non-coding RNA is filed under the name Hevea brasiliensis (rubber tree). The record is from RNAcentral. Lineage: Eukaryota; Viridiplantae; Streptophyta; Magnoliopsida; Malpighiales; Euphorbiaceae.